Molecule: unclassified non-coding RNA, 1038 nt
Filed under: Hevea brasiliensis (rubber tree)
Lineage: Eukaryota; Viridiplantae; Streptophyta; Magnoliopsida; Malpighiales; Euphorbiaceae
Source: RNAcentral
CAAUUGUGCUAUCCGCAUGAACUCUUCAUAUAAACCAUAGGAUUAGGAAAUCUCAACAUCAUCCAUCGCAAAUCACUUACAAAUAUUCAAAUCCAGCGGCUACGAUUUGAAUACUUCAGGGCUCCACGUCAGAUGCACUUCCCACCGACUCUUCUGCUACAUGUUGAUGUUUCAUUAAAGAAUUACAUCCAUGGCUAACUUUACCUCGCCAUUUUGUAAUAUAUGCUGUGUUCAUGGGGUUCUGUGCAAAACCCCACCACCAGUUCGCCGCUUUCAACUCAAACUGGCAAUCUUUUUUGUCUUCAACUUCUCAACAGAUUCUUGCUUCAAUUGGUUACACGAGUUAUGAGGUCUUUUUUUCAAGCUGUCAAACUCUUCCAGUUGGACCCACCUUGUCUCAUAAGCUUCUCUAUCUCUAGCUGCUACCUUUUGCCGUUGCUGAUCACUUGACUAGUGAACUUUUCAUUCCACGAGCAAAAAUUCAGGAUAUAAACACAACUGCUAAAGUUAUAAUGCUCUGGUAAUCUGAAAGAUGGAGUGUAAUAGGCUUAAUAUGAGGGACUAUUGCUCUGGUUCAACAUCAUCAGAGGAAUCAGCAUUGGAUACUGAAAAAAAUGGCUGCAGUCAUCCUAGUCUGUCUUCAUUGAGUCCCCGAAAUCUUCAACCUUUUGCUUCUGCUGGACAGCACUGUGACAGCAAUGCUGCUUACUUCUCCUGGCCUAGCUGGCGGUUAAUUGAUGCUGCUGAGGAGAGGGCAGACUAUUUCGCAAAUUUGCAGAAAGGGGUUCUACCUGAAACUCUUGUUCGGUUGCCAAAGGGGCAACGAGCAACCACAUUGCUUGAACUCAUGACUAUUAGGGCAUUUCAUAGCAAAAUUUUGCGACGUUACAGUCUUGGUACAGCUAUUGGGUUUCGUAUUCAACAAGGUGUGCUGACUGAUAUACCAGCCAUUCUUGUUUUUGUUUCUAGGAAAGUUCAUAAGCAGUGGCUCAGCCCCAUCCAAUGUCUGCCCAAUGCCCUUGAGGGACCAGGAGGUGU